AACACGAUUUUCUGUCUGGCAACACUGUGAUGGCAUAAACAUUUAUCCACCUCUGGUUACCUUUGUCAAUCAAAAUAUUAGAAAAAACUUCAUUUCCGCCUGAAAAGUGCAGAUCGAAAUCGUGCGAAAGUGUUAAAUAGCGCGUAAAUCGACCUUAAAUUAAAGAAGCGCUAAAAGGCGAAGAAAAACACGCUUGAACACACGAUUUUUUGUUCUUAAAUUUUCACUUACGGCAGAGACGCACACGCACGCAGCUCAUCGAAGCACACACACUCGCACAGAGAGCGCAGCGCACUCACACACAGCGGCAAGAAGCGGAGACCAUCAAACUUAAAAUUUGCGAGAAUUCUUGGCACCGGCGAGUCUUGGCCCAGCGAACGAAUUGCACCCGCCCGGCACACAGCACACAGCAUGUUCAGUGGACAUGGGCGGAUUCCUGGAUAAGCCGAAAACCGCCAAGCACAAUGACCAGGGCGAGGGCAACAAGCUGCUCUUCGGGGUCAGCUCGAUGCAGGGCUGGCGGUCGGAGAUGGAGGACGCCUACUACGCUCGUGCCGGGCUGGGGGAUGUCCUGCCGGACUGGAGCUUCUUUGCGGUGUUCGAUGGGCACGCGGGAUGCAAGGUGUCGGAGCAUUGUGCCAAGCAUCUGCUGCACAGCAUCAUCAACACCGAGGAGUUCAUAGGAGGCGACCACGUGAAGGGCAUUCGCACCGGUUUCCUACGCAUCGAUGAGGUGAUGCGAGAUUUGCCGGAAUUCACCCAGGAGACGGAGAAAUGCGGCGGAACCACCGCCGUGUGCGCCUUUGUCAGCCUCACGCAAGUGUACAUCGCCAAUUGUGGGGACUCUAGAGCAGUCCUGUGCCGCCAGGGAGUUCCCGUUUUUGCCACGCAGGACCACAAGCCCAUUCUGCCGGAGGAGAAGGAACGCAUUCACAAUGCCGGCGGCAGUGUGAUGAUCAAGCGGGUGAAUGGCACCCUGGCCGUAUCAAGAGCUCUCGGGGACUACGAUUUUAAGAACGUCAAGGAGAAGGGACAGUGCGAGCAGCUGGUGUCGCCGGAACCGGAGAUAUUCUGCCAGAGCCGUCAGGAUAGCGAUGAGUUCCUGGUGCUCGCCUGCGAUGGAAUCUGGGAUGUGAUGACCAACGAGGACGUGUGCAGCUUCAUCCACUCGCGAAUGCGAGUGACCAGCGACCUUGUGAGCAUUGCCAACCAGGUGGUGGACACAUGCCUGCACAAGGGUAGUCGGGAUAACAUGAGCAUUAUCAUCAUUGCCUUCCCCGGAGCUCCGAAACCCACCGAGGAAGCGAUAGAGGCUGAGCAUCGGCUGGAGAAACAAAUCGAGAAGAUCACAAGAGACGAAAUAGAGUCUAGCAAGAUAACCGACUACGUGGAUCUGCUGAAGUGUCUGCAGAACAGAGACGACAUUGAAGGUCUUCCACCCGGUGGCGGUCUGCAGUCCAAAUAUCACGUUAUCGAGCGCACAUUCAAGCAAGAGUUUCCGGAUCGACCAUGUGAACUGUAUGCAUAUGAUGAUAUAUGAAUUUUGUAAUGCUAAUUGUUCAUUUUAAAUCCAACCAACAACCAACAAACCAGCAAGAGAACAAAGAUAACUAAACAUCCUAAGCUUCACAUACUCUAAAUAUUUGAGAGAACCGCAUGUCUGUUCCUGCAUGUUUCAUCUUAUUCUACCCACUUCCGUUUCCGCUUCCGCUUCAGACGCAAGCUUGUAUCCUGUGUGAAAGUGUCCUUAACAACCGGCUCCCCAUCAUGGUCAAUAAUCGAGAUAUUUGUUAUUCUUGCAGAGUCCAACGCAUUAGGUUGCAGUCGAAAAACAAAA
Molecule: RNA transcript, 1837 nt
Organism: Drosophila elegans
Lineage: Eukaryota; Metazoa; Arthropoda; Insecta; Diptera; Drosophilidae
Gene: alph
Gene name: protein phosphatase 1B
Exons: 7
Source: RefSeq, a predicted model, not a curated record